AUAAAGCUAAAACUCAGAGAGGUUAAGGGAUUUUCCUAACAUCUCACAGCUAGUAAGGGGCAGGGCCAGGGCUUUGACUUAAGUUUAGUUGAAUCUGAUAACAAUGCUUUCUCUUCACAGUCCUUCCAUCCUCCACUCCCAACUCUAGACCAGACCACUCCCCCGGAAUCCCACUGUGCCCUCCACAGAUGGUUAGCAUAGCUCAUCCGACAAUGUAAUAUACUGCCUUGCUUUAGAUGUCUGUCAUUCCACUGUGCUAUGAAUUCCCUGAAGGCAGGAGUCCGUUCAUCUCUGGGUCCCCAAUGCCUAGCAUGGUGUCUGACACAAAGCAAGAACACAGGAAAUGUUUGAUGAAUGAAUGAAUAAGUAAAUGAAGCAAAUAUUUGGUAAAGAGCUGCUUUGUCAAAGACCCUUUAUUGUUACUUUACUGGCGAUCUCCGCCCUGUAUGGAAAAUCAUGUCACAUCGUAGAUUUGAAUUUGUUGUUGGCUGUAGACGCCAAAUCAGUUUUCUCAGUAAAACCAUCAAAAAAUAAAAGUAUCAGCAGAAGGAAAUAAAAGAUUCUCUUCAGGAGUAGGGGAUGGAAAAAGAGGCUACAAGUUCAAGGUUGGGAUCUUGAAGAACAGGUACUCAGUCUGCUAGGGUCAAACUCAAAAAGGCUUGCCUCUCUUGCAUUUCAGAGUCCAGAGUGAGCUAUUUCAAUGCAAACUAACUCCAUCUCAGAGUAUAAGGCAGCUGCCCACUGGCUGGCUUAGGGCUGCUUCCAAAUCUAGGCCUCUUCGUCUCUGAGAGAGUAUCAGACAACAGAUCUGGUCCCUGAGCGAUCUCAGAAAUACAACCAUCACUCUGCGGAGCACACUGGAGGAAAGCUAUACUCCUCUGGAAUCAACAGAUGCCAUCUAAGUUUUCAAACACUGAGCUCAGAGGAAGGAGCAGACAGCUCCAGGCUGACUCCAUGGAACUCCAGCAUAAACCACACACACGAGGAUUCACACACACCUGAACCCAGCCACACUGGUUAAGGGUUCUCACCAGAUCCUUAGCGAGGGGCCACUGGGGACUGAGGUCAGUAGGUGUGCAUGUCCUUCGGCCUCUGUCAUCUGUAAGGACCAGGGUAAACUCUGUCAAGUCCUCAUGCCACAGUGUGGUCCCAAUUAUCCUCAACUGAUCUUUGAACAAAAGAGCUAAAAGCUUUUCCAGAUAUGGACUAGAUCGUGUUCAUCAGUUAUUGGAGGGGCCAAAUCAGAUCGGCAGGCCUUUUUGCAGGACGAUUCUUGAAUGUCUUGCAUAUUGAUCAAAACCUUGGGAACAUACAGAGCUUGUUGUUUUUUUUCCAGAGAUCUAAGAGGUCUGGUGUUUCAGGAGCAGGGGGCUUGUGCAGAAACAGUGGGGGAUGGGGCUGCAGAGAGAGACAUACAAAGGUUGAGCCUCCCCAGUCAAGUCAUUCAUUUCCAUGGAAAGGCUACUGUAUAUUUGCCUUGUUUGCUGGCCGAUGUUUGAAAUCCUCCAUUGAAGCUCGGUAUUCUGAUCUCUUUUUAUAAAGAAAAUUUCCUACAUGGGCAUGUAAUGUUACAGAGGGAGCCUCCUUUUCUGCUAUGGAAUGCUAUAAAAGUGCAAAUUUCUAUGAUAGUCUUAGUCACUGACAGGUAGAGAUUGAUUUUAGGGAAGAUGAUGCGCUUUUAGAGCAAAUCGCUAAGAAAGUCUGUGAUUUGAGUGCAGCCAGGGAUGGGAAGAAGGAAUCUGCUGGUUCUUCUUUCUGGGGGAAUACAGAUUUAGUCGUCAUUCUUCUCCGUCCACUCCCCCUCCUCCUGCCCCUCUCCACACACAUGCACACACACUGUGCUGCACACUCAGGCCCAAGCCUGGUGCAGACAUCAUUUCCCCGUGUCCAACCCAGAGGUUUCCCACAGCUGGAGUGGAGAGCACCUGUGUGCUUCUGCUUUGUGUCUGCCGCACUCACUCACAGGCAGGCCUGGUUACCAUCUGCAUAGGUAAGACCCCGGCCUGGCCUCUAAGCACCAGCCCAGCUCCUGCAGGCACAGAGUAAACCCCGACAUAAAGCAGGCAUCCUGCCACACCUGAGAGGGCCUGCUUCGUGUCCCUCCUUCUUUCACACAAAGAAACUUCUUUAUGCCUCCCCCUCUCUCUUGAUAUUCACAUCUCUUUGAUUUCAGUAACCGAGUCAUUCUAGGAGCUGGAGGGAUGAACAGAGGAGGACUCAAAACUAAGUGGCUCUGUCACUGACUCCAUCCAUUCAUUCAUUCAUUCAUUCAUUCAUUCUAGAAGCUGCUGUGUGCCAGGCUCUGUAGAGACAAACCUGCAUGGAACUUCACCACUGCGCUUGACGACCUGAGUCUAGUGAAGGAGACAAACUUAAACUCCUAAUUGUAGCCCAGUGUGACAAGAAAUCUUAGAACAAUUAAAAUCUCCUGAAAUACUCAGCUGUGGAACACACUUUGACAACGAAAUUGAGACACCGACUUUUCCCAGUAUCCAUCAUGAAACAUCCAAUGCUUCCUGCAAACAAGGCCAGUACUUGGAAGCAUAACUACUUGGGCUUAAUAUGGCUCAUUAUCUAGUAGGUAGGUAAACAAUUAUCUGAUAAACACUGAUCAGUCUGGGUUGAAUCUACAGAUUGCAGGGCUUUAAUUUGUUUACUGUAAAUAAAAUUUGUGAGCAAGAAAACCAUGCACCUUGCCUUGGGCAGUUGGGAUUUUAAGAUAUAAAUGACAAAGUUCCUGAUCUCAUAAGACCUAUAAUUUUGUCAAAGAGACAAUUUACAUAGACAAACAUUGCAACAUUCUAGGAAAAGUGGCUUGCGUGGUGUUUGGCAUACAGAUGGCAUUGAAAUAUGUACUAUUUGAAUAAACGAAAUAAGGCAUGCUUGAGAAAAAGACCAAAUGAAAGUACGAAGAUCAAGGGAAGCAUAGAGGAAGGGACUUUCCGCCUGGGAAGCUGGCAAAAGCAUCAUAGAAGUGGUUACAUUGAAACUGGCUACUGCAGGGUAUCUACAAGCUUACUAGGUGGAGAAGCCUAGAGAAGGGCAUUCUGUAGGAUGGAAUAACUUGGAAAAUGUAUGGAGCUGUAUGAAAAAUAAAAACCAUGGCAUGUUCAGGAAGUGAGUAGCAUUGAAUGAUCUGGAAAAGGUCUUCAGAAUUACAUAGGCAGUGUUUUCUGUGUGUGAGGAGAAAUAACAGCCUUGAUAGCACUGCUGUACAUGACUCAGAUUGAUUCAUUUUUGCAAAAAGUGCAGUCUUAAUAUCUCAGACCAACUUCUGAGUGUUUGUGGGUUGGGAGUUGGAAGAGACCAGAGCUGAGAUGGAUGGAUGUAGUCUGAUGCCAUAAGCCCAGUUCUUCUGAGACUUUCACAAGUUGUCAGGCAUCAAAGCUACUUGUUUUUGAGUGAGAACAGCCUCCUGUCUCGGGAGCAUUCUAUUGGCCCACUGUGUUCCAGCAAACAAUGUAAAACCCACACCGUGGGGACCACUCUUCCCUGAACACAUAGGUUUUAGGAAGGUCAGAGUCUGGUAACUACUGUGUUCUCAGAGAUUAAUACCGAUGCUUCCCGGCCUGUGCGAGGCCCAGCGAACUGCCGCAUUCCUUUGAAGGAAAGAGAAGGGACGACAGGGCUGCAGCUCCGCAUCUAACAGAAUUUUCUGGGCGCAAUGCAGUGGAGGAGGAUUUGUUUCAGUGGAAGAGCCUUGUGAAAGGAUCACAGGCCAAACAAACAAACAAAAAUGCUACAGACAUGAAUGCACUUCCUGUCCCUUUUCCCCGAAAGAUGAAGGUUGAUUCUGAGAACACGAAGAUAUUACAACAAAAUUCUUGUCCUAUAAUAGCGAGGGCGAGAAAAAGCAUUUAAAUUGCGUGUGUGUGUAUUGAGGAGGGGUGGUAUCUGGCUACUGUACUUUAACAAUAAUUCCUCUUGACAUUAUACAAGGUCAGCAAGUCACCUCAAGACCACCCAGUCUGAGGAUUUGCUCUCCACACAGGGCUGUAUAGACUCUCUCAGCUGAGAAAUGUCACCCAGCACCUUUCAUAUUUAUGGUGACUCAUAAACAGGAAGCCAGUCCUGUCCAUGACAUUGUAACUUUUUCAUAUCUCAAAUCCUUUUAUGAAAAUGAAAAAAAAAAAAACCCACCAAACCAAACAAAAGAAUUUAGCUGCCUUAUGCUUUCUGGGCCAAAAUAAAUAUUGCCAAAUUAGUAAGGCAUACUGAACAAAUUAAGCGCUAAAUGCAAAUUUAUCGACUGAAAUCCAAUGGCAGAAUCGCCAAAGAGCUCACAGCGGUGGAGUGCAGCCCUGUAAGUAGGUGUUUGUGUUGGCGAGUCUCUGCAGAGAGACAUGGGAACAGUAAUAUAAAAAGAGAGCAUUUCUGUUACACCCAAAAUGAACAGUUUGUUUUAAAAGUUCAAGUAAACAGUGUCUAACAUAUAUUCACUGAAUUCAGAAUCUCAGUUGCUACCAAGAAGGAGAUGAAGAAAAAUAAGCUGGCAAAAUUUCUUUAAAAGAAUCUCAUUUGGAAACGUUCAAGUUGGCCUCGUAAAUCAUCGGAUGAGAUGGAGACAUCGUUCCUCAUCUCUGAGCCCUGAGUAAGCCCCAACAGGGCUUCACCAAGGCAGACAAGACCUUUUCCCUUAAGGAUAUUCAAAACCCUACAAAAUAAGGAGAAUAA
This is a non-coding RNA of Equus caballus (horse), 4674 nucleotides long. Lineage: Eukaryota; Metazoa; Chordata; Mammalia; Perissodactyla; Equidae. The record is from RefSeq and is a predicted model, not a curated record.